Molecule: long non-coding RNA, 396 nt
Filed under: Malus domestica (apple)
Lineage: Eukaryota; Viridiplantae; Streptophyta; Magnoliopsida; Rosales; Rosaceae
Description: long non-coding RNA (MDOM_LNC003558)
Source: RNAcentral
CAAAAAUAGUGUAAGUUAUUUUGGUUCGGAUUCACAAUUUUGGUUUAGUUUUCAUAUCAAUUUGUCAUAGCCAUAGUAGCAGAGGUAGUUCAAGUAGACAACGGUUUCUGUUUCAAACACUUGAACGAGAAACUACCCAGUAAGCCCCCAAAAGAAAUCCCAUCACUCAUUCACAUAAACAGACAAGGAAAGUAUAUAAACCAUGAAGCUUUCCAGAAAAAGCAAAAACAAGUGAAAUUUGUUUGCUGUACAGCAUAUUAGCAAAGCUUCGGCAUCAUCCAGUCCAAUUUUAAUCUCAGAAAAUUUCUUCUUCUGCUGCUCUACAAUUCACAUUGAUAAAAAAAUAACCCAUUUAAUAAAAUGAUCAGAACUACCCAAAAUCAUGCAGAUCAAACC